UGUUAUGGCGGCUGUGCGCGGGAGACUUCAAGUCUGCCGGGUUUUCUGGUCCCCGGGUUCCAACCUGCGUACAGCUGCCACCCUU
This 85-nucleotide non-coding RNA is filed under the name Pseudomonas koreensis. Lineage: Bacteria; Pseudomonadati; Pseudomonadota; Gammaproteobacteria; Pseudomonadales; Pseudomonadaceae. The record is from RNAcentral.